RNAcentral lists this ribosomal RNA (172 nucleotides) under Lomanius sp. DNA104934. RNAcentral describes it as "partial 12S ribosomal RNA". Lineage: Eukaryota; Metazoa; Arthropoda; Arachnida; Opiliones; Podoctidae. The record is from RNAcentral.
UCAACUUCUGAAAAGAGUAAUGUUCAAGAAAAUUAAAGUUUUUGGCGGUUAGAUCAACUUAGAGGAGCUCGCUUAUGAAUCGAAUUUACCCGUUGUAUCUUAUUUAUUAAAGCUUAUUUAUCUCCGUUAUUAAGCUUCCUGCUUACCAAAUUAAUCUAAAUUAUAUUUCAGG